GACAGAGGAUGCAAGCGUUAUCCGGAAUGAUUGGGCGUAAAGGCGUCUGUAGGUGGCUUUUUAAGUCUGCCGUCAAAUCCCAGGGCUUAACCCUGGACAGGCGGUGGAAACUACCAAGCUGGAGUACGGUAGGGGCAGGGGGAAUUUCCGGUGGAGCGGGUGAAAUGCUGUAGAGAUCGGAAAGAACACCAACGGCGAAAGCACUCUGCUGGGCCGACACUGACACUGAGAGACGAAAGCUAGGGGAGCGAAUGGG
RNAcentral lists this ribosomal RNA (256 nucleotides) under uncultured bacterium. RNAcentral's name for it is "partial 16S ribosomal RNA". It matches the Rfam family "Bacterial small subunit ribosomal RNA", at positions 524 to 776 of the family's 1533-position model. The record is from RNAcentral.